AAUGGGCCAUCUUUUAUUCCAAGAAAGUCGUUUAAGAGUUCCAUCAGUACAAGUAUAGACAAAGAAGGGGAGGAAAAUACAGUACAAAAAGGAAAUCUAGAAAAUUUCUGUACCAGAUAUUGACCUAAUUUACUGCCUAACCCUAGACCCUCCUUCCCUCCCCCUCUCAGAUGAUCUGUUAGACAAAGGACUUUGAUUUCUAUUUGUUAUGUAAGUCUAACCCCUGUUAUGUUACAGACCAUUAGUCUACACAGUUUUGAUAAUCCUACUUCUUUCUUUACAAGUAAAAGAAGGGUGAUGGAAAAUGGAAAUAUAGUACUCCAUCAGUACCUGUCCUGCUACUUUAAAAAAUCCUAAGCUCAAGAUCAACUGAUAAUUUGCAGGACAGGUACUGAUGGAGUACUAAUG
RNAcentral lists this unclassified non-coding RNA (408 nucleotides) under Hevea brasiliensis (rubber tree). Lineage: Eukaryota; Viridiplantae; Streptophyta; Magnoliopsida; Malpighiales; Euphorbiaceae. The record is from RNAcentral.